ACUGCUCAGUAACACGUAGUCAACAUGCCCAGAGGACGUGGAUAACCUCGGGAAACUGAGGAUAAACCGCGAUAGGCCAAGAUUCCUGGAAUGGUUCAUGGCCGAAAUCUAUAUGGUCUUUGGAUUGGACUGCGGCCGAUCAGGCUGUUGGUGAGGUAAUGGCCCACCAAACCUGUUACCGGUACGGGCUCUGAGAGGAGGAGCCCGGAGAUGGGCACUGAGACAAGGGCCCAGGCCCUAUGGGGCGCAGCAGGCGCGAAAUCUCUGCAAUAGGCGAAAGCUUGACAGGGUUACUCUGAGUGAUUUCCGCUAAGGAGAUCUUUUGACACCUCUAAAAAUGGUGUAGAAUAAGGGGUGGGCAAGUCUGGUGUCAGCCGCCGCGGUAAUACCAGCACCCCGAGUGGUCGGGACGAUUAUUGGGCCUAAAGCAUCCGUAGCCGGUCCUACAAGUCUUCCGUUAAAUCCAGCUGCUCAACAGAUGGGCUGCGGAAGAUACUAUAGGGCUAGGAGGCGGGAGAGGCAAGCGGUACUCAAUGGGUAGGGGUAAAAUCCUCUGAUCCAUUGAAGACCACCAGUGGCGAAGGCGGCUUGCCAGAACGCGCUCGACGGUGAGGGAUGAAAGCUGGGGGAGCAAACCGGAUUAGAUACCCGGGUAGUCCCAGCUGUAAACGAUGCAGACUCGGUGAUGGGUUGGCCUUGUGCCAACCCAGUGCCGCAGGGAAGCCGUUAAGUCUGCCGCCUGGGGAGUACGGUCGCAAGACUGGAACUUAAAGGAAUUGGCGGGGGAGCAC
This 791-nucleotide ribosomal RNA is filed under the name uncultured archaeon. RNAcentral describes it as "bacterial SSU rRNA". It matches the Rfam family "Archaeal small subunit ribosomal RNA", at positions 85 to 879 of the family's 1478-position model. The record is from RNAcentral.